GGCAGCCGCGGUAAUUCCAGCUCCAAUAGCGUAUAUUAAAGUUGUUGCAGUUAAAAAGCUCGUAGUUGAAUUUCGGGAUCAAUACGUCGGUCGUGCCUCUGGUAUGAACUGGCGUCGUUGAUUUCUCCUUUCUGAGGAACCAUGAUGUCAUUAAUUUGAUGUCGUGGGAAAUCAGGACUGUUACUUUGAAAAAAUUAGAGUGUUUAAAGCAGGCUCGCGCUUGAAUACAUUAGCA
This 235-nucleotide ribosomal RNA is filed under the name uncultured Glomus. RNAcentral describes it as "partial 18S ribosomal RNA". It matches the Rfam family "Eukaryotic small subunit ribosomal RNA", at positions 569 to 809 of the family's 1831-position model. The record is from RNAcentral. Lineage: Eukaryota; Fungi; Glomeromycota; Glomeromycetes; Glomerales; Glomeraceae.